RNAcentral lists this ribosomal RNA (717 nucleotides) under uncultured bacterium. RNAcentral's name for it is "bacterial SSU rRNA". It matches the Rfam family "Bacterial small subunit ribosomal RNA", at positions 771 to 1501 of the family's 1533-position model. The record is from RNAcentral.
AACAGGAUUAGAUACCCUGGUAGUCCACGCCCUAAACGAUGAUGACUCGAUGUUUGCGAUAUACCGUAAGCGUCCAAGCGAAAGCGUUAAGUCAUCCACCUGGGGAGUACGCCCGCAAGGGUGAAACUCAAAGGAAUUGACGGGGGCCCGCACAAGCGGAGGAGCAUGUGGUUUAAUUCGAUGAUACGCGAGGAACCUUACCCGGGCUUGAAAGUUACUGAAGCAUCCAGAGACGGAUGCGUCCUUCGGGACAGGAAACUGGUGCUGCAUGGCUGUCGUCAGCUCGUGCCGCGAGGUGUUGGGUUAAGUCCCGCAACGAGCGCAACCCCUAUGUCCAGUUGCCAGCACGUAAUGGUGGGGACUCUGGCCAGACUGCCUGCGCAAGCAGAGAGGAAGGCGGGGACGACGUCAAGUCAUCAUGGCCCUUACGUCCGGGGCUACACACGUGCUACAAUGGAUGGUACAGCGGGCGGCUACACAGCAAUGUGAUGCCAAUCUCGAAAAGCCAUUCACAGUUCGGAUCGGGGUCUGCAACUCGACCCCGUGAAGUUGGAUUCGCUAGUAAUCGCGUAUCAGCAAUGACGCGGUGAAUACGUUCCCGGGCCUUGUACACACCGCCCGUCAAGCCAUGAAAGCUGGGGGUACCUAAAGCAUGUAACCGCAAGGAGCGUGUCAGGGUAAAACCGGUAAUUGGGGCUAAGUCGUAACAAGGUAACC